CCAAUAGCGUAUAUUAAAGUUGUUGCAGUUAAAAAGCUCGUAGUUGAACUUCAGGCCUGGCUGGGCGGUCCGCCUUCCGGGUGAGUACUGCCUGUGGUCGGGUCCUACCUUCUGGCGAAGCGUCAUGGCCUUAACCGGCCGUGGCGGGGAACCAGGGCUUUUACUGUGAAAAAAUUAGAGUGUUCAAAGCAGGCACGCGCUUGAAUACAUUAGCAUGGAAUAAUGGAAUAGGACAGUGGUUCUAUUUGUUGGUUUCUAGGACCGUUGUAAUGAUUAAUAGGGAUAGUUGGGGGCAUUAGUAUUCAAUUGUCAGAGGUGAAAUUCUUGGAUUUAUUGAAGACUAACUACUGCGAAAGCAUUUGCCAAGGAUGUUUUCAUUAAUCAAGAACGAAAGUUAGGGGAUCGAAGACGAUCAGAUACCGUCGUAGUCUUAACCAUAAACUAUGCCGACUAGGAAUCGGGCGAUGUUGACAAAAUGACGCGCUCGGCACCUCAUG
This 497-nucleotide ribosomal RNA is filed under the name uncultured Glomeromycotina. RNAcentral's name for it is "partial small subunit ribosomal RNA". It matches the Rfam family "Eukaryotic small subunit ribosomal RNA", at positions 591 to 1092 of the family's 1831-position model. The record is from RNAcentral. Lineage: Eukaryota; Fungi; Glomeromycota.